This is a long non-coding RNA of Mustela lutreola (European mink), 597 nucleotides long. RefSeq lists it as uncharacterized. The record is from RefSeq and is a predicted model, not a curated record. NCBI's taxonomy places the organism in Eukaryota, Metazoa, Chordata, Mammalia, Carnivora, Mustelidae. The transcript is spliced from 2 exons.
CACGCCAGGCCUCUGUGGAUCACCUCAUGUUCCUGAUCUCAUGCAUUCCCGGCAGACCGGCAGUUGAAGGGAAGUGAUGCAAAUGGCCUUGAAUUCCGGACACUGGGAAGCAGCAGCUCAUCCUUUUUUGCCUGCUGCUCCCCCAACCCCCCAGGGCUGACCAUCAGGAUGACUGCUGGGCACACUGAGUCGCUGGAAACUCCGUGGGAUGCUUUACAUGUGGUAGCUCAGGGCAGCUCUCCAAACCCCGCAGGGCGAGGUGGAGACGGGCCUCGGGGAGGUCGAGUAGCUCCCCCAGCUCACACCCUCCCGAGUCCUGAGGCAGAAUUCAGACGGUCUGCCGGCUGCAGGGCCGGUGUUCUCACCCACGAGGCUGCAGGAAGAGGAGCACCGUUCAGCCGAGCCCAGGAGAGGCUCCUCCUCGGUGACAUCACCCCCUAGAAGAAGUCCGAGUCCUAAGACGGAAGGAACUUGCACCCCCCCGCCAGAGCCUCCAGAGCUAGACUGUAAUCGCUAUCUCAAGUCACUGUAUUUUGGGGUCCCUUUAAAGCAUCUUGGGUGUUUUCCAUAAUCAGUACAAUUAAAGAGAAAGAUUCA